CAGGCCUUUCAGAAUAAAAAAUAUGCAAUAACAAUCACCGCUCAAAAUGCAGAGUUAUCGUUGUCUGCAUCUCAACAGAUGACUCCUCACGAUUGGGAUCUUCUGACCAAAGCUAUUGCGGUACUGAAGCCAUUCUACAUCACCACAAAAGCGGCGGAGGGGGACAUGGUUUCUGUUUCGGAGGUUAUCCCAAAUAUAAAGAAACUGGAUUACGCUAUCAGGAGCAUAUCCUCAAGUGGAGUCGGAACUCUGAAACCCACGCUGCUUUCCGAAAUGUAAAACCAAGAGACUGAAGAAAUCCAAAGAUAGUGCAGCGAUCUAAAGAGAAUGAGUUAGAAGACCUUCGGAAUCUGAAAGUGGAGUCGCUCUACCUUGACGGGAGAAAAGAUGCAGCAUUGUGAUGAGCUUAGGAUCGACAUUAGACAACUCGCCACUAAGAUCUUGUGGCUGUUACGCCACUAACGUCAACACCGGACGUCACAAUGGGAUUAUAGCCCUCUUAGAGAAGAAUUUUGGAUGGGAAUUGCAAAGAUUUAUUUGGUGCCUUCACAGGAUAGACCUGCCAUUAAAAAAUUUAAGGGGUUCUGAGUCCUGAACUGUCGAGAGAACGAAUUGGUCCUCUCAGCCACGCAAGGUGGAUUAUAAUGCAGUAG
Bolinopsis microptera is the source of this 653-nucleotide long non-coding RNA. RefSeq lists it as uncharacterized. Lineage: Eukaryota; Metazoa; Ctenophora; Tentaculata; Lobata; Bolinopsidae. The transcript has 3 exons. The record is from RefSeq and is a predicted model, not a curated record.